Long non-coding RNA from Pseudophryne corroboree (corroboree frog), 1292 nucleotides. RefSeq lists it as uncharacterized. NCBI's taxonomy places the organism in Eukaryota, Metazoa, Chordata, Amphibia, Anura, Myobatrachidae. The transcript has 4 exons. The record is from RefSeq and is a predicted model, not a curated record.
CUCUGUAUGUGAAGUGGUUGGACAUGUUACCUGUGGUGUCCUGCUGCCUGGAACAUUGUUUGGUGUCUUGACAAAGAUCACUGGGAUGUGAUCGAAACGUCGACUUGAUGAUUCAAUAUUAAAACUACAGCUAUUAUUUUACAAAAAACUGAUAUUCCAUAUGGCGAAAUUUGGUCCGAUACCAUUUUAAGUAUUGAGUAUUGUUUAUUUGCCUUUUGAAGACACGAUAAGAUGUAUGUCCAUAUUGUGAUUCUUUGAAAUACUGGGCUACCUGACACCGAUUGCUCUACACGCUGUCCUAACCACCCGAUCCAGGGCCUUUCAUUCUGCAACACUACAAUUUCCGAACCAUACGACAAUCCCGUAGGCCUAACAACAAAAGCUGCACCGGGAGAGGAUCAGUGCACUUUCACAGUGUCUAUAGACACGGCAGCCUGCAUCAGCUUUUUGAGAAAGUUAUUUGAUGGAUGUGUCUCAAAAAGCAUUGUGUUGGCUCAGGCAGCCAGCAUGUAAUUAAUGCAAGGAUUUCAUUUAGAAUCUACCUGAUGCCUGUUGCAGUUUUGUAUUGAUGGCAUGGGAGAAUGUGUAAAGGGUGAACAAUGAGCAAGCACAUUCUUAGGGAACACCAUGGUAGAUAUAACAUAUUUUAACAUUUCUAUUUAAUUCCUUUAUUGAAAUGAACAAAUGAGCACACUGCAAGCAUGCACAUAAAAUCAAUAAAUGGGUGGUGAUGACACUUUUUAAGCACCGCUAUUAAAUGGAGAGUCUACGCAGGUCUAACCACACAUACAAAACUGUAAGAUGAAUUCUUGAUUUCAAGUGUGAUUUUGAAGUCUGAAGUGUUUAAAUGUUUUUGUACAUUCUUGUUGAGUGUUCAUGCAGAGAGUUAUCUGUCACAUGUGCUCACCCUACUGAUACGCUGCUACUUUAAGUAACUGCCUGAAAGGACACGAGCAAUACUAUUUUUUAUUUAUAAUGGUAGGAUCAGUGUCCAUCUCAUCUCAUAGUUUCCCCCCAGGAAAAAGUUAAAGUUCAAUCCCUUUAAAAGUAUACUUGUUGUCUACACAGCUAUUUUGUGGCCUGAAGAACCAUUUCUCAGAUUUCUUUUAUUUUUUUAAUCUGCAGAAAAAUUGAAUUAAGAAUUUGUAGAUUUACUUUAAAAAGCCUACAGUUCACAAAACAAUACUGUAGGAACAAUCUGUGUCAGUGUUAUUUGUAGUACUCAUCUGUUUACUUUUUAGGAUGUUGAAUACUUUUGCAAGACACUAUGGGAGUAAUUCUGAGUUGAUCAC